AUGUCAACUUCAGCCCAACCAACCCCGGCCGCUCCAUCGCCAGACCAGAAUGUCCAACUGACACCAGGAGAACAAGAAGACGUUGCUGGCAAAUCCCAAAUUCUAACCACACCAGAGGAGACUAGCACUAACGGAGGUACGCUUGAAAACAUGGCACUAUCCACGGAAGUAAUCACAGAGAGGACCGAGCAACGUUCUUCCGACGAGGGAAACACUGCGACAACGGAAAGUAAUCAGAACACCACCGAAGAGUCAGCGAGGUCGGCAUCGUCUCUUGCGCCGAUGACCGAAUCGACCUUCCAGACGCAAAGAAACGCCGAGAUGGCGAUGCCCACGGAUGCGCCACCGUCGUCGCCCGAGUCGGCCGCUGUGAAACCGGAGAGCUCGCCGAUCCAGGAGAUUGCCGUGACGACGUUUUCCUCCCCGGCGCAAAGCCAACUGGACAUAGCCAACGACACAGCAAUCAACAGAGUUUCCUCCGAUGAGCAAAUGCUCGAUCAAUUAACAACGACUCUCAAAGUCUGCACUCACUCGCCAAAGGAAGAGGCGACUGAAGGCGUGACUCAAACUGGUGCAACCGAGCCUAACCAAAGUAUUUUAGAUAAGACCACGAUUGAAAAUGAAUCGGAUAAAAUGCGCGUGGGGACUCCUGAUGAGACCACAACCAAUGGAAAACCAACCGACGAUCUGAAUGAUAUUCCUGUGCUGAUAAUUAUAUCCAGCACUGAAAAUGACGGCACCACGAAAGAUAAUCUCGACGCUUCCAGGACUGGAACAACGGAUUUGAAAAAUCAUGAUUUUAUUUCGACUGAUACUCCGUCAGUAACCUCAAGAAAUGAAUUACUCCCUACUGACUACAACCUAAUACCAGACGAUCCCUCUCUCACUAUUACAACCGCUCCUCAACAGAAUACUUUUGACGUGCCCCAAACUCCGACAUCAUCCAUCGGUUUAAGAGUCAAUGACGCCACCCCGACCGUCAUCACGACCCCUGAAAUAGUUCUUUCGACGAAUCCAUCUCGGGAUGGCACCUCAACCGAAUAUAUCCCACCAGUAAAUCAAGUCGAGCUAAACCUCGAUAGGCUUAACGAUAUUGAGUCGGCCACCGAUAAUAAAGGACUUACAACCGUCAUACCAGAGAAAACAUCCGAUCCUCAAAGUUCUGUAAAUAAUAAUCCGAAUAGUAUCAAUGAAAAUCUCCAAGAAUUAACAAAUCCUAUUGGGAACAAUGAUUUUAAUGAUUACAAUGUAAUUAAUGACAUUGAAUCUACACCAAGCAGUCGUAGCCAAGAAGAGCACACGAAUACAGAACAUGGUCAGUUGGCACACUCUCCUCCUGCUACUAAUUUUGGUGACACCGAAGACCUCAAAUAUAUCAACGUCAUCACCGAACCACAACUCAUAACUGAUAAACCUAAUUUUGGAGGCGAAAGUCCGAUACAGAAUUUCCCGAAAAUGAAAAAACACCUUCGCCAAAACUUUUUGAAAAUACCGAUGGGCCUAUAUCCGACCAAAAAAUCACGACCACACCAGAAAAUAGUGAGAAUUUCCAGACGGGAAACGGUUUCCGAUUAUUCGAUAAGAUACAUGACUUGA
RNAcentral lists this long non-coding RNA (1596 nucleotides) under Bemisia tabaci. RNAcentral's name for it is "lncRNA ENSSSA2NGG003538". The record is from RNAcentral. Lineage: Eukaryota; Metazoa; Arthropoda; Insecta; Hemiptera; Aleyrodidae.